RNAcentral lists this ribosomal RNA (422 nucleotides) under uncultured bacterium. RNAcentral describes it as "bacterial SSU rRNA". It matches the Rfam family "Bacterial small subunit ribosomal RNA", at positions 362 to 776 of the family's 1533-position model. The record is from RNAcentral.
UUUUGGACAAUGGGCGCAAGCCUGAUCCAGCAAUGCCGCGUGCAGGAUGAAGGCCUUCGGGUUGUAAACUGCUUUUGUACGGAACGAAAAGGCUCUGGUUAAUACCUGGGGUCGAUGACGGUACCGUAAGAAUAAGCACCGGCUAACUACGUGCCAGCAGCCGCGGUAAUACGUAGGGUGCGAGCGUUAAUCGGAAUUACUGGGCGUAAAGCGUGCGCAGGCGGUGAUGUAAGACAGUUGUGAAAUCCCCGGGCUCAACCUGGGAAUUGCAUCUGUGACUGCAUUGCUGGAGUGCGGCAGAGGGGGAUGGAAUUCCGCGUGUAGCAGUGAAAUGCGUAGAUAUGCGGAGGAACACCGAUGGCGAAGGCAAUCCCCUGGGCCUGCACUGACGCUCAUGCACGAAAGCGUGGGGAGCAAACAGG